AUACGUAGGUGGCGAGCGUUAUCCGGAUUUACUGGGUGUAAAGGGCGCGUAGGCGGGGAAGCAAGUCAGGUGUGGAAUCUAUGGGCUUAACCCAUAAACUGCACUUGAAACUGUUUCUCUUGAGUGCUGGAGAGGUAGACGGAAUUCCUUGUGUAGCGGUGAAAUGCGUAGAUAUAAGGAAGAACACCAGUGGCGAAGGCGGUCUACUGGACAGUAACUGACGCUGAGGCGCGAAAGCGUGGGGAGCAAACAGGAUUAGAUACCCUGGUAGUCCACACUGUAAACGAUGAAUGCUAGGUGUAGGGGGUAUCGACCCCUUCUGUGCCGCAGUAAACACAAUAAGCAUUCCGCCUGGGGAGUGCGGCCGCAAGGUUGAAACUCAAAUGAAUUGGCGGGG
This 397-nucleotide ribosomal RNA is filed under the name uncultured bacterium. RNAcentral's name for it is "partial 16S ribosomal RNA". It matches the Rfam family "Bacterial small subunit ribosomal RNA", at positions 523 to 918 of the family's 1533-position model. The record is from RNAcentral.